AGCCUUAUAGUCAAUUAAUGAUAUUAGACUGCAAUUCUAAAGGAGUAAGUUUUGAUUUACUAAGGCUU
Molecule: transfer RNA, 68 nt
Filed under: Isoperla grammatica
Lineage: Eukaryota; Metazoa; Arthropoda; Insecta; Plecoptera; Perlodidae
Description: tRNA-Cys
Source: RNAcentral